GGCGGCGAUUGACUUGGCGAUUGGCGAUUCCCCUCCGACGCCUCCGUCGCGGUGCCGCCCCUGUCCAGCGACCUCGGCUCCCGUCCCCGACGCCGGUGACCUCGAUCCACCAGCUCCUCUCUAACCCCUCUCCCCUAUCCAAUCCCCUCUCUCUCGGUGAACUAUGUGAGUUCGUGUUGUCGUCUCAUCCUCCCCUCCGGCCCUCCCCAGCUCGCCGUCGUCUCUAAUCGGUCUCUGUCUGUCGUGUGUCGUCUGGGUGGCCCCCGUGUUCUCCGGCAUCGGGCUCCGGUAGCACAGGUAAACCCUAACCCUAACCCUAGAUCUUUCGUAAACCCUAACCCUAACCCUAACUGUAUAAUGUUUUGCUCUUUUGUAGGUCAGUUGCUG
RNAcentral lists this long non-coding RNA (387 nucleotides) under Zea mays. Its description in RNAcentral is "long non-coding RNA (ZMAY_LNC002959)". The record is from RNAcentral. Lineage: Eukaryota; Viridiplantae; Streptophyta; Magnoliopsida; Poales; Poaceae.